RNAcentral lists this ribosomal RNA (252 nucleotides) under uncultured bacterium. Its description in RNAcentral is "partial 16S ribosomal RNA". It matches the Rfam family "Bacterial small subunit ribosomal RNA", at positions 338 to 604 of the family's 1533-position model. The record is from RNAcentral.
CCUACGGGAGGCAGCAGUGGGGAAUAUUGGGCAAUGGGCGCAAGCCUGACCCAGCAACGCCGCGUGAAGGAAGAAGGCUUUCGGGUUGUAAACUUCUUUUCUCAGGGACGAAGCAAGUGACGGUACCUGAGGAAUAAGCCACGGCUAACUACGUGCCAGCAGCCGCGGUAAUACGUAGGUGGCAAGCGUUAUCCGGAUUUACUGGGUGUAAAGGGUGCGUAGGCGGUCCGGAAAGUCAGCGGUAAAAGCCCG